UUUAAUAGAGGUCACCAUCUGAAAACAUUGCUGUGCUCUUUUGGGCUGCCACACUCCAGGAAAGAGGAGCUGGGAAGCUGGACGUCAGCUGUGGGAAGCUCUGGGGCCUGGAGGCCAUUUUGGUUCUGCAGAGAGCCACCAUGUGCACAGGGAAGUGUUCGAGGUGCAUUGGGAUCACCCUGUUCCCGCUGGCUGCGUGUGCUAUGGUCUCCAACAUCCUCCUGUUCUUCCCCAAUGGACAAGUUCUGCAGCUCAGUGAGAUAACCGAUCUGGUCUGGUUUUUCCAAGGCAUUCUGGGAGCUGGAAUACUGGUAAGAGAGAAGAGUUUCUUCUGUUUGUUUUCUAGAACUUCUGCUAAUGUAACAAAAAUCAUGUUAAUUCCUUUUCAGAAGCAUCCGAGUAGGUUAACUGGGAAGGUAGAGUGCAGAGAUGAGAAAGUGCAUUCAAGACUAAAAAAGUCCCAGUUUCUGAAAUACAGUCUAUUUCUGAAAUAAACAUCAGCUUCUCCAGAUCAUGAGUAAGACUGCCUUUCCACUGUGAACAACAGUGAUGUGGGUGAUCAUGUCUUUGCAGUCGAAGCAUAGAUGAGGUCCUAAACUAGCCAGAGGUGGUGAGCUUUCACCUUGGAUACAAUCCUUCCUUAUUCCUCUCACUGAUUUUAUUCUUACAGAACCUAUCUAAAAAUAUUAAGGGCAAAACUGAAAUGUGUUUUGAUAGGUGUUCAUUAGUGACCCAGCCACUACUGUGUGAAUGUGGAGCUGAAAAGGACUUGAACCCCAAAUGCCUCCCACACUCCUCCACACUCAGCUCCUCUUGGAUUUGGUCUGGUUUGUGCGUGCUGUUUUGUGACCAGUUCUCCAUUCCAAAACUCAGAAAAAAAUUGAAUAUCCGUAACCAGAAGGGAACAUAUUUGAGAAUAGUGAUAUUUCCAGUUCAUUAGAAGCCCACUCUGUGCAUGUUCUUUCAGUUAUCCACUCAGAUGCAGGCAAAAAGCUGAGCAAGUGACAUGCAUAUGACAAGCAGUGGAUGUCACACAGCCCAGGCAGAUGGCACACUGGUGCAGAGAUGGCUACCUGCACAUCAGAAAACCGAAUGUUUAGAAAUAAUUAGCUUAGAAAGAAGUAAAUCUUAUUCAGUUGGGCCAGCUAGCACUUAAGUCUAUAGAAAACUACAAUGGAUGUGGUUCAGACUUAUAUUUCUCCCUGCAGAAAUGUGGUAUAAGAUCAUUCAAUAAAUUGCUCCCCACCAGCAGCUUACCUGCUUCUUCUUCUAGCUGCCACUUGGGCAUAUUACUCACACGGAGCUUGAAUGUAAGCAAUGAGUGUGUGGAAGGAAGCUUAAAGGAAGAACUACAUGAGAGACUGAUGGAAAAUUGGUAUCACUGCAAGCCCAGGAGUCAUUGGCGUUCAAUGAAAGGAAAGGCAAAUGUCAAGCAUGAAAGAAUCACAAGCUCAUUCAAAAUAUGCCUUCUUUUAAGGCUGCCACAGAGGCUUUCCUGUGGUCAGCAAUGCAUACUUUAAAAAUGAGAACAGCAAAGGGAGAGGGAAGGAAGCAUUUGCAUUGGCCUUCACAACACAGACACCAGCAGUAGGAGUAAUUAUCAAUCCACAAAUAUUGCCAUUGAGUGUACAUGUUUUCCAGAAGACAGUAUGAGAAAUGCCCACAGGUGGAGUAGGGAAAGAUCAUCGGCUCCAUCUUUCAGGUGCUGGAAGCAUGGAAAAAUGGCAUCUGGCUCCUGGGCCGUAGGAGAAGUAAAGCAGAGUGCAAGAAUACACCAUGAGUGGAGCCCAGGCAAUAUCCUGACUCCACAAUAAGAAAGACUGGGCUGCAUAGCUCUCUGCCAUAAAAAUAUACUUGCCUCCAACUGGAAAAUCAACCCACUGAUGGACCUGAUGGAUACCCAGGUCUUCAGCACAUUCCUCAGCUGAGCAGCCAGUCUCGCUCUUUCUUUCUCCUACUGUUGCUUCUCUAAUGGGAAUUUACAUGACAUGAAAACCUUUCCAUUUACUUAUUUCCGAAGUUUAGGUUAUAAAGAAAUGAAGAUUCUCUCCACGUGCCAUAGUAACAUCCUUACUGAUGGGAAGCCUGUGUGAAGCACUGGGAAAUGCCUGUUUGAGUCAUGGCUCACUUGCAGUCCUCAUUUUACAGACAGCAGCCAAAUCUAGCAAAUUCUCAUUCCUGGAUCAAAAAGCAGGUGUUUAUAAUCAGAUAGUGAAAA
Meleagris gallopavo (turkey) is the source of this 2218-nucleotide non-coding RNA. NCBI's taxonomy places the organism in Eukaryota, Metazoa, Chordata, Aves, Galliformes, Phasianidae. The record is from RefSeq and is a predicted model, not a curated record.